UUGUGAUCAACAAAUGAUUUAUUUGUUAUGGAAUUUACCCAUGGAAAACUAGCUCAUGAAGUGUUUUUAGAUAGAUGUGAAGUCUUGUGAAAUCACCAGUCCCAUAUAGUGAUAGCGAUAACGAUGAUGAAGAGUGCUGCGUU
Long non-coding RNA from Bactrocera neohumeralis, 143 nucleotides. RefSeq lists it as uncharacterized. The record is from RefSeq and is a predicted model, not a curated record. The transcript is spliced from 3 exons. Lineage: Eukaryota; Metazoa; Arthropoda; Insecta; Diptera; Tephritidae.